Ornithodoros turicata is the source of this 949-nucleotide long non-coding RNA. RefSeq lists it as uncharacterized. Lineage: Eukaryota; Metazoa; Arthropoda; Arachnida; Ixodida; Argasidae. The transcript has 4 exons. The record is from RefSeq and is a predicted model, not a curated record.
GGCGCCGAGUGAUGCAAUCACGUAACCGACAGUUUCGAAUCUGGCCAAUGAUGUUCCUCGAUCAUCCAGCCGUGUUUGCACUGUCGGAGUCCCCGUCGCUCUCGCUGCGAGAAACGAAUGUAUCCGGCCGUGCUCCCGAAACUUUUGAGGAAUUCCAACAUUUUUAAGCGAUUCAUCGAGUGGAUGACUGCGUGCUGCAGCUGUGCUUUUCAUCUCCUGCGUGCGUACAAAACUGGAAUGCUGGAGGACUUCAGCUCAAGAAUGUCAUGCUGGACCACUACCAGAGCGUGCUUAAAGGAAUCAAUGCCUUGAUGAAGGUAUCACCGAAGUGCCCACCACCAGCUCUCUGCCUCAGAGCCAGUGAUGAUGGUCAAGAUUUUUCUAGCGGAUCUUGUCAUGUCAUGCUGAAAACUAAUCUACCCCGCACUUCGGUUACAACACUAUGACCUAUCGCGCUGUGAUGAUUGCUUGAAAGGAAUACAGUCUGGUAUGCUGUGUUGUUUUUCUUUUAAAAGAACUUCAGGUAUCCGUAAUAACAGGCCUUCCUAGCAAGAAAGCCAUAAGAAAAGGCAUCUUCUUGAUACAUUAAUAUUUCUCCUAAAGACAAGGGUACGAGUCACACUACAUGUGCCAUACUGCACUCUCAGAAAAAAGGGUGGACCUUUUAGGAGGUAAUAGCUGUCGCAUAUGUUGUGCCUAAAAGGUUGCAAAGUUCUACCUGCUACCUCACUCUCUGCCACGAAUAAUAGGGUUACCGCUUCUGAUUCGGUGAGAGAGGGGGGCGUGCACCUUUUUGUUGUAAUUUGGAUGGAUGAUAAUUUUUUUUACCAGCUUUUUACACCCCUUAUCAUGUUGGCUUAGGAGGUAACUAAGGAAGUUACCACCUUCUCACGCCUUUUUCCUUAGAUUGUGGUUCCCAAAUUGUCUCUAUGUUGUCCUCGUAUUAGCA